This 340-nucleotide unclassified non-coding RNA is filed under the name Hevea brasiliensis (rubber tree). Lineage: Eukaryota; Viridiplantae; Streptophyta; Magnoliopsida; Malpighiales; Euphorbiaceae. The record is from RNAcentral.
CGAAGGCCAUGGGGUGACUGAUGUCCUUUAUGGAGACUAUAGAUUUAGUGGAAAACUUCCAAGAACAUGGUUUAAAAAUGUAAAUCAGCUACCAAUGAAUGUUGGGGAUUCACACUACGAUCCACUUUUCCCCUUUGGCUUUGGGCUGAAAACUGGGUCUGUUCCAGGUGUUGUGGGAAGGUCAACAUCAGCUGGUGUUGUUGGGAGGCCAUAUAUACCUUUUAUUGUGGUCCUUGUAACAUUCAAUUUGUAUUUCACAGGCAUAAUUUUUAACCUGAAUCACUCAUGAACAAGUAUCCUUAUUUUAGAUAAUUGAAUAGAUUGAUCUGUUUUUCCCGCG